Molecule: ribosomal RNA, 467 nt
Filed under: uncultured bacterium
Lineage: Bacteria
Description: partial 16S ribosomal RNA
Rfam family: Bacterial small subunit ribosomal RNA
Source: RNAcentral
AUGCACGCUGGCGGCGUGCUUCACACAUGCAAGUCGCACGGUGAAGGCGGAGCUUGCUCUGCUGGAUCAGUGGCGAACGGGUGAGUAACACGUGAGCAAUCUGCCCCUGACUCUGGGAUAAGCGCUGGAAACGGCGUCUAAUACUGGAUACGAGCUGCGAAGGCAUCUUCAGCAGCUGGAAAGAAUUUCGGUCAGGGAUGAGCUCGCGGCCUAUCAGCUUGUUGGUGAGGUAAUGGCUCACCAAGGCGUCGACGGGUAGCCGGCCUGAGAGGGUGACCGGCCACACUGGGACUGAGACACGGCCCAGACUCCUACGGGAGGCAGCAGUGGGGAAUAUUGCACAAUGGGCGAAAGCCUGAUGCAGCAACGCCGCGUGAGGGACGACGGCCUUCGGGUUGUAAACCUCUUUUAGCAGGGAAGAAGCGAAAGUGACGGUACCUGCAGAAAAAGCGCCGGCUAACUACGUG